CUCUGACAGUUAGCUAGGACGCUCCAUAUUGCUCACAUCAGCCUGAUAAUCAGGGUUAAUGGCCUUUUUUUUUUUUACUUUUAUGAUGCUUCUUUCUUCAUCGCAUAUAAGACAGUGACCUGUGACAAACUGAUAUGUUGGUGCUAUGCAGGGAGAACGAUAUUUCUUUCCACAUCGAAACACAGUUGACCAGCAGUAUUCGCGGGGGUUAGGAACCACGAUCGCCCACAAAUAGCAGCAAUCCGCAAGUAUUCUGAUCCAUCGAAUGGUGCCAGAGUGAGAGUGAUGAUGUCAGAGACCAUUUACUGAGGUGCAGUCUUGCUUUUGGAUGAAAGAUGACACUGAUGUGAUAAUGAGAACCUCACCCUGUAACUCCUGAAGAAGAAAAAAAGUACCGGCCUUUACAAACUGCUGUGUCAUCAGAUAUCAGACAGCAAUGCACACUGUCUGCUCACCCUAUAUCUGUAAAUAAAACCAUUAAUUAGCCUGC
Oreochromis aureus is the source of this 490-nucleotide long non-coding RNA. The record is from Ensembl. NCBI's taxonomy places the organism in Eukaryota, Metazoa, Chordata, Actinopteri, Cichliformes, Cichlidae.